GCAGCCUUGAUCCCCAGGUCAGCAAGAUUCCCUGGAGAAGGAAAUAGGAACCCAUUCCUGUAUUCUUGCCUGGGAAACCCAUGGACAGAGGAGCCUGGCGGGCUACAAUCUGCGGGGUUGCAAAGAGUCGGACGCAUCUGAGCGACUAUAACAACAGCAGCAAUCACAGAGAGCUCCAGGGCUGCUCAGCACACAGGAGGGCGAGGCCUCACAGCUUGUCAGAAGACCCAGCUGUGCAGAGGCCGGGCGAAAGGAGAAAGUGGGCUCCAAUGACGCCUGUUAGAGCUUUAAUCCUCAGCUGUGACACAUGGAGGGAGCUAUGAACAGGAAACUCAGAGCUGGGCCGCCAGCCAGAAACAUUCAGAAAACGUGCCAAGCCCUUUCGAAAUACCACACUCUCCACUGAACACUCACUGCUAACAGUUCACAGGCUGUCUCUCUUCUCAAGUGACGGAGCCAUAGACCCGGGCCAUCCAGUCUGUCAGAGUUCCCGUCAUCAGAGUCUGAACCAGUCAAAGCCAGGCCUGGAUCUCCCACCUCCUCCCUCUUCUCCUCCAGAUCCUCCUCCUAACGACAUCCACAGAUGUGAGCUCCCAGCAAUACCGAAGGACCCUUCCUUCAAGCUUGUGCCCUGGACAUCUGGUGCAUGAACGGACUGCUAAAGACAUAACCUCACUCAAAGAGCUGAGAUGCCCUGAUGAGAAGAGCCGACUCAUUGGAAACGACCCUAAGGCUGGGAAAGAUUGAGGGCAGGAGGAGAAGCGGACAACAGGGGACGAGAUGGUUGGAUAGCACCAUUGACUCAAUGAACAUGAAUCUGAGCAAACUCUGAGAGACAGUGGAGGAAAGGCAACUGUGGGGUGGCAUAGAGUCAGGCACAACUAAACGACUGAACAGC
Long non-coding RNA from Bos taurus (domestic cattle), 898 nucleotides. Lineage: Eukaryota; Metazoa; Chordata; Mammalia; Artiodactyla; Bovidae. The record is from Ensembl.